RNAcentral lists this long non-coding RNA (552 nucleotides) under Phoenix dactylifera (date palm). RNAcentral describes it as "long non-coding RNA (PDAC_LNC021869)". The record is from RNAcentral. Lineage: Eukaryota; Viridiplantae; Streptophyta; Magnoliopsida; Arecales; Arecaceae.
GUAGUCUUCAUGGGCGCGCGUGCCGGUCACGUGGAGCAUGGCGGCUUAGUUCCCCCGUAACAGUAGCCCCCCACUUCCGAGCCUGGAACCAGAAGGGGAACGGGUGAAGGGAGUGAUGCUUCGAGAUUGCCGCCAUCCCUCGGAGAGGCGCGCGCGCUUCGAGCUCCCCGCCUUCUUUAUGGCGUAUGGCGGUUGUUGCUGACCUGGCAAUCUGAGGAUUUCGGCGGACAUCCUUUCUUAAUGGUGUCGAUUCGCCUUUGGGGCGCGAGCGACCCUUCGGCGGCCAGGCGUCCUCUGGCGUCAUCGAGGCAUCACCCGCCUUUCCGCCUAUUUAACCGGGGGCCCUCCCCCGUCCGUCUUCCUCUUUACAGACAUUUUCGAGUUUCCCCUUUGCACUGCCGUUGUUGCCGUCGGACUGUUCGCUUGCUUCUCCUUUGACGCUCUCGGAGCCGUUCUUCCUUCUCUUCCGGUGAGUUACCCCAUUCUUCUACUUAGGGCUCUCCAUACUUUCUCCUUUUGUACUAGUGUACCCCAGUCGUUCCGGUCUUUCCC